Molecule: ribosomal RNA, 383 nt
Filed under: uncultured eukaryote
Lineage: Eukaryota
Description: partial 18S ribosomal RNA
Rfam family: Eukaryotic small subunit ribosomal RNA
Source: RNAcentral
CAAUAGCGUAUAUUAAAGUUGUUGCAGUUAAAAAGCUCGUAGUUGGAUUUCUGGUGGGAGCGAUCGGUCUGGCGCUUAGCGCGAGUACUUGCAUCGUCUCCGGCCAUCCUUGGGGAGGGUCUGUCUGGCAUUAGGUUGUCGGGCAGAGGAUCCUCAUCGUUUACUGUGAAAAAAUUAGAGUGUUCAAAGCAGGCUUAUGCCGUUGAAUAUGUUAGCAUGGAAUAAUAAGAUAGGACUUUGGUACUAUUUUGUUGGUUUGCGCACCAAAGUAAUGAUUAAUAGGGACAGUUGGGGGUAUUCGUAUUCCGUUGUCAGAGGUGAAAUUCUUGGAUUUACGGAAGACGAACUACUGCGAAAGCAUUUACCAAGGAUGUUUUCAUUAA